Molecule: ribosomal RNA, 367 nt
Filed under: uncultured bacterium
Lineage: Bacteria
Description: bacterial SSU rRNA
Rfam family: Bacterial small subunit ribosomal RNA
Source: RNAcentral
GAUGAACGCUGGCGGCGUGCCUAACACAUGCAAGUCGAACGGACAUAAUGAAACCUAGUGAUUUAUGUUAGUGGCGGACGGGUGAGUAACGCGUGGGCAACCUGCCUCAUACAGGGGGAUAACACUUAGAAAUAGGUGCUAAUACCGCAUAAGCGCACGGGAUCGCAUGAUCCUGUGUGAAAAACUCCGGUGGUAUGAGAUGGACCCGCGUCUGAUUAGCUAGUUGGUAGGGUAACGGCCUACCAAGGCGACGAUCAGUAGCCGGCCUGAGAGGUGAACGGCCACAUUGGGACUGAGACACGGCCCAAACUCCUACGGGAGGCAGCAGUGGGAAUAUUGCACAAUGGGGGAAACCCUGAUGCAGCAA